Molecule: ribosomal RNA, 576 nt
Filed under: uncultured bacterium
Lineage: Bacteria
Description: partial 16S ribosomal RNA
Rfam family: Bacterial small subunit ribosomal RNA
Source: RNAcentral
UGGGGAAUUUUGGACAAUGGGCGAAAGCCUGAUCCAGCAAUGCCGCGUGUGUGAAGAAGGCCUUCGGGUUGUAAAGCACUUUUGUCCGGAAAGAAAUCCUUGGCUCUAAUACAGUCGGGGGAUGACGGUACCGGAAGAAUAAGCACCGGCUAACUACGUGCCAGCAGCCGCGGUAAUACGUAGGGUGCAAGCGUUAAUCGGAAUUACUGGGCGUAAAGCGUGCGCAGGCGGUUUGCUAAGACCGAUGUGAAAUCCCCGGGCUCAACCUGGGAACUGCUUUGGUGACUGGCAGGCUAGAGUAUGGCAGAGGGGGGUAGAAUUCCACGUGUAGCAGUGAAAUGCGUAGAGAUGUGGAGGAAUACCGAUGGCGAAGGCAGCCCCCUGGGCCAAUACUGACGCUCAUGCACGAAAGCGUGGGGAGCAAACAGGAUUAGAUACCCUGGUAGUCCACGCCCUAAACGAUGUCAACUAGUUGUUGGGGAUUCAUUUCCUUAGUAACGUAGCUAACGCGUGAAGUUGACCGCCUGGGGAGUACGGUCGCAAGAUUAAAACUCAAAGGAAUUGACCGGGGUCAUA